UACAGAGGGUGCAAACGUUGCUCGGAAUUACUGGGCGUAAAGCGCACGUAGGCGGAUUCGCAAGUCGGGCGUGAAAUCCCCGGGCUCAACCCGGGAACUGCGUUCGAAACUGCGUAUCUAGAGUAAUGGAGAGGGAAUCGGAAUUCUCGGUGUAGAAGUGAAAUUCGUAGAUAUCGAGAGGAACACCAGUGGCGAAAGCGGAUUCCUGGACAUUUACUGACGCUGAGGUGCGAAAGCGUGGGAAGCAAACAGG
RNAcentral lists this unclassified non-coding RNA (253 nucleotides) under uncultured Myxococcales bacterium. Its description in RNAcentral is "contains 16S-23S intergenic spacer region". It matches the Rfam family "Bacterial small subunit ribosomal RNA", at positions 524 to 776 of the family's 1533-position model. The record is from RNAcentral. Lineage: Bacteria; Pseudomonadati; Myxococcota; Myxococcia; Myxococcales.